This 3030-nucleotide long non-coding RNA is filed under the name Medicago truncatula (barrel medic). RNAcentral describes it as "long non-coding RNA (MTRU_LNC003420)". Lineage: Eukaryota; Viridiplantae; Streptophyta; Magnoliopsida; Fabales; Fabaceae. The record is from RNAcentral.
UUUUUUCCUUGUAAACUCAUAAUCGAACCAAUCCACCCCCACAACCGCAUAAGCCGCCACCUGACCAAUCUGAUGCCAUAAACAGUCAGGAUUGGUUUUGAUAUAUUGCUCUACCCUAGCUGCGAAUGUUAAUUGAUCAGGUAAUAUUCUUUUCUAAUAUUUUAAGUGGCAUUUCGAGAUAGUUUCACAUAAUAUAUUUAAUAUAUGCUUAAACCAAAUAUAAAAUUAUUUAGUUUGUUUAUUUAUUUAUUUAUUUUUAAACUCAACUUAACCGUAAUAAAACUAGGUUUUUUGUGCAUUUGAUCCCUGACAUUUUGGGUGAUUUUUGGUUUACUCUCUUGUUUUUUCUUUUCUUUUCAGUAAUGUCUGUAUAAUUUUAGAUUUUAAUUGUUUUAAUUCUAACUAGCUUAUUUUCCCGACAUUUUCCAGGUUAUAUAGAACUUAUUAUUAUUUUCUUUGAGUUAUAUGUAUGAUAUUCAUUGGGAUUUAACCCCUCCAAUAGUCAGUCCUUGAACUAGAUACAAUGUUUUGGAAACAAAUUAUUAUAUUCAUUAAAAAUUCCAUAUCUCAUAAAUAAUAAAAGAAAAAGGAUUACUCAUAUUAUAACCCACAAUUCAUUAAAUGAAUUAUCACCAUCUACUUAAAAUAUAAAAUCAAUAAAUUAUAGUUGUGUAAGUUGAAAUAUUAAAACACAAUCACAAAUCUUAGGCUCCAUGGUUUGCCGACAACGCCAAAAUUACCAUCGGAGGUGGAAAAGUUAUACCCUCUUUGACACGGAUGCUUUCUUUAACAUCGAUGAUUUCAUCAAUUUUGACGCCAGGGGUGACAACAAUUUUGUUCUUACCCUUUUUUUCUUCAAUAGCCUUUUUAUAAAUUGAUGAUAAUGCUGGAUUUGGUUCAAUUUAUGUUGGCUAUAAAAGUGUGGUACUAGAUAUGAUAAACCGUCAAUGUGAUGUAGUAUGAAAGGUUUAAUAGAUUUUUUCUCACGUUACUCAGAAUCUAAAAUGCUUUUCACCAAAUCCUAUAGUUACUUGUUGUUCAUGAAGAUGGUGAAUAUUUGAUUAUGAAUACAAAUUUGAGACAGAUAAAUUGUAGAGGUAAAUGAAAAGUCAAAAUAUAUCAAGCCUUGAACCUACAGGUACAUAUAUAUAACUAUAUCAGAAACUACGACAUUUAAUUUUAUCUAUUUCCGAUGCGUAUAAUAAAAAUUUAAUUUAAUCUAUUUGAAAAAUAAAUAAAUAAAAUUCAAAUCCAAAUUUUAGAAUUAAAAUAAUAUAAUAAAUUAAUUAAUAUUAAGAUAUAAUUUUUAAAUAUAAAUAUAAUAUUUUAAAGUUGAACGAUUUUAUUACCUUUUGCCUUUAGUGUCUCGGGAAAGUAAAUUCUUUGCACAAUAUUUGUUUGACCAGAUUAUAUAUUUUAUCAGGUUUUAUAAAGUAUUUUUCAUUACAAGAAAUAAAAUAAUAUUCAUUUCUUUUGAAUUUGGAAAUGGAUAACGUUAUAUACCUACAAAAAGUUAUUAAACAAUUUGGAUAUAAGUAUAUACGCACAUAUAUUCAAAUUAUACUGAUAUCCAAAUUCAAAUGAAAUUAUUUUAUUUUUGGUAAUAAAAAAUAAUUUAUUAAACCUGAUAACGCACAUAAUUUGGUCAAACAAAUAAUGUGCAGAGAAUUUACUUUUUCGAAACACUAAAGGCGAAAAGUAAUAAAAUCCACCAACUUUAAAAUAUUAUCUUUACAUUUGAGAAUUAUAUCUUUAUAUUCAUCUAUUUAUUAUGUUAUUAUAAUUCUAAAAUUUGGAUUUGAAUUUUAUUUCUUUAUUUUGCGAAUAAAUUAAAUUUUCAUUAUAAGCAUCGAAAGUAGAUAAAAUAAAAUGUCGUAGUUUCUGAUUGAUAUAUAUAUAUAUAUAUAUAUAUAUAUAUAUAUAUAUAUAUAUAUAUAUAUAUAUAUGUACCUGUUGGUUCAAGGCAUGAUAUAUUUUGAUUCUUCAUUACCUCUACGAUUUCUCUGUCUUAAAUUUGUAUUCAUCCUUAAAUAUUCACCAUCAUCAUGAAGAACAACAAACAACUAUGGAAUUUGGUGAAACACAUUUCAGAUUUUAAGUUACGUGAGAAGAAAUAUACUGAACCUUUCAUAUCGCAUCACAUUGACGGGUUACUAUCAUAUUUAGCUCCACACUUGUAUAGCCAACAUAAAUUGAAACAAAUUAACCAUUAUCAUCAAUCUAUAAAAAGGCUAUUGAAGAAAGAAAAAAAAUGGUCAAAAGCAAAUUGUUGUCACGCCUGAAAUCAAAAUUGAUAAAAUCAUUGAAGUCAAAGAAAGCUUAUGUGUCAAAGAGGGCAUCAACUUUGCCACCUUCGAUGGUGAUUUUGGCUUUGCCGACAAGCCAUGGAGCCUAAGAUUUGUGAUUGUGUUUUCGAGGUUCACGCACACACAAAUACACACAUCUAAUUUAAUUUUAAUCCAAUAACUAUUUAAAAUUUUCUCUACCAAUUUAUCAUUCAAACAAUGAAUUAUCUAUUGUAAAAAAAAAUUGGUUACAAAAUGUUUAGGUGAGCUUUGGAUGCUCACAGGGUCAGGGCCUCAAGCUCAAAAAACAUUUACAAAAGUAUUACGUAUCAUCCACCAAAGAUGUCCUAUCAUCGAUAAUGGCAAUUUAACUGACGACUAUAUAUAUAACACCCCGAAUUAUGAAUAUUAAUAUAUUAAUUAGUAUUAUUAUUAGAAAAUAGUAGUAUUAUUAUUAGUAUUGGUUUGUUUUAUAUUAUUAAUUUAAUUAUUCAUAUUUGUUCGGAAAAUAGGUAAUGAGGAAAUAGAUAGGUUAAUUGGUGGGUUAGAGUGAAGGAAAAUAAGUUUUAGGAAGAAAAUAACAUUUUUGGCGAGAAUAAUGAAGUAGGGUGCAAACAGUAGUGCAUUUUUUGCAACUCUCCAUAGCACCGAUCUCUUCUUCAUUGCUGAUUGCUUCCCUUUGCUCGAAGAACUCGAUCUUAGUGAUCCCGGAGAGUUCAUCUACCACAGUAGUUUACACGAUGGU